This is a non-coding RNA of Phoenix dactylifera (date palm), 76 nucleotides long. Lineage: Eukaryota; Viridiplantae; Streptophyta; Magnoliopsida; Arecales; Arecaceae. The record is from RefSeq and is a predicted model, not a curated record.
AACUUUGUGUUUGAGGGGGUACGUAACUGAACGAGAAAUUUUUUUACCUGUCCAAUUUCUAACGGAUCAAGAUAUC